Molecule: ribosomal RNA, 484 nt
Filed under: uncultured bacterium
Lineage: Bacteria
Description: partial 16S ribosomal RNA
Rfam family: Bacterial small subunit ribosomal RNA
Source: RNAcentral
AUUGAACGCUGGCGGCAUGCCUUACACAUGCAAGUCGAACGGCAGCACGGGAGCAAUCCUGGUGGCGAGUGGCGAACGGGUGAGUAAUACAUCGGAACGUGCCCAAUCGUGGGGGAUAACGCAGCGAAAGCUGUGCUAAUACCGCAUACGAUCUACGGAUGAAAGCAGGGGACCACAAGACCUUGCGCGAAUGGAGCAGCCGAUGGCAGAUUAGGUAGUUGGUGGGGUAAAGGCUCACCAAGCCAACGAUCCGUAGCUGGUCUGAGAGGACGACCAGCCACACUGGGACUGAGACACGGCCCAGACUCCUACGGGAGGCAGCAGUGGGGAAUUUUGGACAAUGGGCGCAAGCCUGAUCCAGCCAUGCCGCGUGCAGGAUGAAGGCCUUCGGGUUGUAAACUGCUUUUGUACGGAAAGAAACGGCGUUUUCUAAUAAAGAGGGCUAAUGACGGUACCGUAAGAAUAAGCACCGGCUAACUACGUG